CGCGCUCUAGGAGUGGGUCCGCGGCCCAUCAGCUAGUUGGUAGGGUAACGGCCUACCAAGGCAACGACGGGUAGCUGGUCUGAGAGGAUGGCCAGCCACACUGGAACUGAGACACGGUCCAGACCUCCGUACGGGAGGCAGCAGGUGGGGAAUCUUGCGCAAUGGACGAAAGUCUGACGCAGCGACGCCGCGUGGGUGACGAAGGCCUUCGGGGUUGUAAAGCCCUGUGGGGAGAGACGAACCGGCAUCUGGCUAACAUCCAGGUGCUCUGACGGUAUCUCCUUAGCAAGCAUCGGCUAACUCUGUGCCAGCAGCCGCGGUAAGACAGAGGAUGCAAACGUUGCUCGGAAUUACUGGGCGUAAAGCGCGCGCAGGCGGUCCCGUAAGUCGGGUGUGAAAGCCCCGGGCUCAACCCGGGAAGUGCACUCGAUACUGCGAGACUGGAGUACUGGAGAGGAGAGCGGAAUUCUCGGUGUAGAGGUGAAAUUCGUAGAUAUCGGGA
This 502-nucleotide ribosomal RNA is filed under the name uncultured bacterium. Its description in RNAcentral is "bacterial SSU rRNA". It matches the Rfam family "Bacterial small subunit ribosomal RNA", at positions 214 to 702 of the family's 1533-position model. The record is from RNAcentral.